AAGACUGGAUGAUAUUAUCAUCUCUUCAGAACAUUUUCACUGGCUCCUCAUUGCUGAAAGGAUAAAGACAAAACAUCUUAUAAUUUCCAAGGUUUCCUGAGGCCUCCCAGCCAUGUUUCCUGUACAGGCUGCAGAAAUGGCAAACAUUUACUUGAAUCUGUUCUCAUUUGGCUGGUAAUGAGAUCUGCAUCAGAAGCCAAAGACAAGAGAAACUGGCUGAGUUUCAAAGAUAGCAGGUGGAAGAAAAGAUGUACCACCUUAUAAAAGUCUUUGUGGCCAUCAGGCUUUUAAGCUCAGCUAAAUUUCCACAUAAUAAAUGAAAAUGCUACUCCUGAGUGUGAAAAGCAAUAAAAUAAAUAUUGUUUCUCAGUGACUUAAGGAACAACGUUCACUACCAAAGCAAAUGUCACUCCUUAGAGCUGUGUUAUUUUGUGACUAAUUCUGUAAUAUGGUUUAAUAGCUAUGUUAGCUGUAUGCCUCUCCCAACCUUAUUUUGUAACUCUGACAUCCUCACUCCUUAUGUCCCAGGCCAAUGUCUUCUUGAACUGUUCCUUGAACUGGCCAAGCUUGCUUCUGGCCUCAUGGCCUUGCAUAAUUUCGUUUCUCUGCCUGAAGUAUUCCUUCCAUAGAUUCUUUUUGCAUGAUUGGUUCUUUCUCAUCAUUAAGGUUUCACUAAACAACCCCUCCUCAAAAACAUCCUCUCUUUCCAUUCAAUCUAAAGUAGCUCAACAAUUGCUUUAUGCUUUAUUUUAUUCUUGGAACUUCACAUUAUGUGAUUCUUUCUUAUUGAUUUAUUGUUCCCACCCUCUUCCCCCCUGCCUACACCACCACUAGAAUGCAAGGUCCAUGACUAGUUCUGUAUGUUCCUGGCACCAAAAGAAGUGCCUGUCACCUAAGAGACAUAUUCCCUCAAAUAACCACUGCAUAUUUGAAUGAAUUAAUGAAUCAAAGGCCUCCACAUAGCUGUCUUUAAAGCUCUUCAUGCCGGGCGCGGUGGCUCACGCCUGUAAUUCCAGCACUUUGGGAGGCCGAGAUGGGCGGAUCACCCGAGGUCGGGAGUUCAAGACCAGCCUGACCAACAUGGAGAAACCCCGUCUCUACUAAAGACACAAAAAAAUUAACCAGGUGUGGUGGUGCAUGCCUGUAAUCCCAGCUACUUGGGAGGAUGAGGCAGGAGAAUUGCUUGAACCCAGGAGGCGGAGGUUGCGGUGAGCCAAGAUAGUGCCAUUGCACUCCAGCCUGGGCAACAAGAGUGAGACUCCGUCUCAAAAAAAAAAAAAAAAAAAAAAGCUCUUCAUGGCCUAUUCCCUACCUAUGUCUUUGACUUCAUCUCACAUCAGCCUUCUCACUCUCUGUACUUCACCACAUUGGCUUUUUGAAAUACCCUAUAUUCUUCAUUCUCCUCUGUGGGCUCUAGGCCUUUCCCCAUUCUUCUGGUUAGAGAAAGAUCCCCCAGGUCAUUCCUUCAUCCCAUUAAUGCCUACUAAUUUUUGCAGACCUCAUUCAAUUACCACCUCCUUGAUAACUAGAAUAGGUCAAAUCCCUUAUGAAAUGCUCUUAAAGUUUUCUUCACAUCUCUCUUCUAAGUGCUUAUGAAAUUAAAAUUCUAUAUUUAAUCGUGAGAUGAUUAGUGUUUGUUCAUCUACUAGACUGUUGCUCUAUGAAAGCAGGAAGUGCCUGUACAUAACAGACUCUCAAUAAAUAUUUAUUAGAUGGGUAAAUAUCUAGAUAAUGACUAGCAAAUUCCACAGGGACUUUCUAUAGCACAGUUGAAUUGGUUUAUUCAACAAAUAAAUGGCAAGGGGGAAAAAAAGGGGGUAAACUGUAAGCAAAGGAUUAGGUUCUCAUUGACACCUUAUCAAAAUGGAAGUUCUCUGUUAUCAGAAAUAUACUAGGGCAGCCGGGUGAGGUGGCUCACACCUGUAAUCCCAGUACUUUGGGAGGCUGAGGUGGGCGGAUUGCCUGAGCUUGGGAGUUCAACCACCCUGGACAAUAUGGUGAAAUUCUGUUGUCACUAAAAUACAAAAAAUUAGCUGGGCAUGGUGGCAGGCACCUGUAGUCCUAGCUACACAGGAGGCUGAGGCAUGAGAAUCACUUGAACCCAGGAGGCAGAGGUUGCAGUAAGCCAAGACCACACUGCUGCACUCCAGCCUGGGCAACAGAGCGAGACCCUGUCUCCAAAAAAAAAGAAGAAAGGAAAGGAAAAAGGAAAGGAAAGGAAAGGAAGAAAGGAAGGAAGGAAAGAGAGAGAGAGAAAGAAAGAAAGAGAAAGAGAGAAAGAGAGAAAGAAAAGAAAGAAAGAAAAGAAAGAAAGAAAGAAAGAAAGAAAGAAAGAAAGAAAGAAAGAAAGAAAGAAAGAAAGAAAGAACGAAGGAAGGAAAGAAAGAAAGAAGGAAAGAAAGAAAGGAAAGAUACUAGGGCCAGGUGAGGUGGCUCAUGCCUGUAAUCCCACAACUUUGGGAGGCCGAGGCAGGAAUAUCACUUGAGUCUAGCAGUUUGAGAGCAGCCUGGGCAACCAGCAAAUCCUCAUCUCUACAAAAAAUAAAAAAUUAGCCAGGCCUGGUGGCACACACCUGUAGUCCCAGCUACUUGGAAGGCUGAGGUGGCAAGAUCGCUUGGGCCUGGGAGAUUGAGGCUGCAGUGAGCUGUGAUCGCACCACUGCACGCAGCCAAUCAAUCAAUCAACCAAUAAGUAAGAAGAAAUUUAUCGGCUAAGACGUGGAUACAAUUACAAUGCAACAUACUUUGUUUUCAUUUUUGUUGGGAAUCACACAAAAUAGAACUGAUACUCUUCUGUGUGCAUUAAUACUACAAUGACUGCGACUGUAUGUGAAUUUGCCAGUUUUUUUGCAUGUGAUCUACAACAAAAAAACAAAUUUCAAUCAACUAUGUUAGGAAAAAGGCUGAAUUAGGUUUAUUCUCUAUAAGAAAUUAUAUUGGAAAAUCUUUGUUAUAUGAAGAAGUGAUCAAAGAGUAUGAAGACAAAGCAGGAACAAAAAGUAUUAUAGAAGUGUAUCAGGUAAUUAAUUAAAAUGUUUUGUUUUUCUUCUGGAUUUUGUGGUAUUUGAGGCAUUUGUUGACUUUAAAAAUAGGUAAAUUGUCCGAGCGCGAUGGCUCACUCCUGUAAUCCUAGUAUUUUGAGAGGCCGAGGCGGGCAGAUCACCUGAGGUUGGGAGUUCGUGACCAGCCUGGCCAACAUGGUGAAAACCCUGUCUCUACUAAAAAAAAAAAAAAAUUUGCCAGAUAUGGUGGUGGGCACCUGUAAUCCCAGCUACUUGGGAGGCUGAAGCACGAGAAUCACUUGAACCCAGGAGGUGGAGGUUGCAGUGAGCCAAGACUGUGCCAUUGCACUCCAGCUUGAGUGAGAGACUCUGUCUCAAAAAAAAAAAAAUGUAAAUUGUUGGCACUCUUAUUAUAUAUUUAUAUAUUUAUAUAUAUAUUUACUUCCAUUCCAAAAACAAAGAGAAGGAUCCUACAGAUUAAGAAAGAAUACAAUGUCUGGUCCUUGUUUGGAUUCCAUUUAAAAUGAGCUAAGUGCAAAUUUAUGGGACAAUCAGAAAAAUUUAAACAUGACUAGAUAUUCUAUGAUAUUAAAAAUACUGUUAAUAUUUUUAGAUUUGAUGAUGGUAUUGUGGCUACCCUUACAUGUCAGAGAAAUAUAUUGAAGUAUUUACAGAAAAACAAUAUAAUAAAUAAUUUCCAUAAAACAAUCCAGUAUUUCGUGUGUGUGCAAAAAAAUGAGUGGGGGUAAAAAUGAAAUAAGAUAGGCUAUGUGUUGGUAACUGAUGAAGUUAGGUACUGGGUACAUGGGAUUCAUUAAACCAUUACUCCAACUUUCAUAAAGGUUUUCAACUUUCAUAAUAAAAUAUUAAGAAGAAUAUAAAAUGGAAGUUUAUUACAAAAAAAAUUGGAGAACAGAAACUGAAAAGCCUUUAAAAACAGAAGCCCUUUCUCAGACUUUACAGCUUGCAUAAAUAAAUUAAUAGCAGAGGACACUACUGCAGAACAAAUUAAACAGGCCAGAUUUAUGAGUUUGGAAUUUUUUCUUUGUGGCAAGCAUUUGUCAAUUGUUUCUAUUUCUGCAUUUUUAAAUGAAAGUUCUGUAGCUCCUCAGGCUCACUGAGUAUCACAACAGGCAAGCAGAAGAUGGGGGAAAAUGAGAGCCAACUGGACGAAGAAAUACAAGAAAAAUUCAAGGAGAACUGUUGCUGAUUUUGUGAAGAAAUCAUUUCUUAAAAAAAAAAAUACAAGCAGGAAAAAGAAACAACAAACCAUCUACUGUAUGAGCUAUAUUCUCCUCCACAAUAAUAAAAGCCAAAAUGGAUUACCCAGAUGGAAAAACCCACGUAAUUUUGCUCCUGAAAAUUAUUCUGUUUUAAGCCUAUCUUCUCUUACAAUAAAAUCCACAAAGGAGAAGAGGAGAAAAGGAGUAUUAGUCUAUUUUCGGUGAAAUACAGAAACAAUGAGUCAUGAGUAAUACAUGAAAUAAGAUACAAUUCUUUUGGUACACGAUCUAAUGGCUGUACAGGGAAUGAAACCACUGUUGGUUAAACUAUAGUGAAA
Gorilla gorilla gorilla (western lowland gorilla) is the source of this 4563-nucleotide long non-coding RNA. RefSeq lists it as uncharacterized. NCBI's taxonomy places the organism in Eukaryota, Metazoa, Chordata, Mammalia, Primates, Hominidae. The transcript is spliced from 4 exons. The record is from RefSeq and is a predicted model, not a curated record.